CCUACGGGAGGCUGCAGUGAGGAAUAUUGGUCAAUGGUCGGGAGACUGAACCAGCCAAGCCGCGUGAGGGAUGAAGGUACAGAGUAUCGUAAACCUCUUUUGUCAGGGAACAAAGGCGGGGACGUGUCCCCGGCUGAGUGUACCUGAAGAAAAAGCAUCGGCUUACUCCGUGCCAGCAGCCGAGGUAAUACGGGGAGUGCGAGCGUUGUCCGGAGUUAGUGGGUUUAAAGGGUGCGCAGUCGGUCUGUUAAGUCAGCGGUCAAAGCCCGAGGAGCACCCCAGGCCCGCCGUUGAACAUGGCAGUCUCGAGUUGGAGAGAAGUAUGCGGAAUGCGCGGUGUAGCGGUGAAAUGCAUAGAUAUCGCGCAGAACUCCGAUUGCGAAGGCAGCAUGCCGGCUCCACACUGACGCUGAGGCACGAAAGCGUGGGUAUCGAACAGGAUUAGAUACCCUGGUAGUC
This 459-nucleotide ribosomal RNA is filed under the name uncultured bacterium. Its description in RNAcentral is "partial 16S ribosomal RNA". It matches the Rfam family "Bacterial small subunit ribosomal RNA", at positions 338 to 795 of the family's 1533-position model. The record is from RNAcentral.